AAUGCCUAGGAAUCUGCCUGGUAGUGGGGGAUAACGUUCGGAAACGGACGCUAAUACCGCAUACGUCCUACGGGAGAAAGCAGGGGACCUUCGGGCCUUGCGCUAUCAGAUGAGCCUAGGUCGGAUUAGCUAGUUGGUGAGGUAAUGGCUCACCAAGGCGACGAUCCGUAACUGGUCUGAGAGGAUGAUCAGUCACACUGGAACUGAGACACGGUCCAGACUCCCACGGGAGGCAGCAGUGGGGAAUAUUGGACAAUGGGCGAAAGCCUGAUCCAGCCAUGCCGCGUGUGUGAAGAAGGUCUUCGGAUUGUAAAGCACUUUAAGUUGGGAGGAAGGGUUGUAGAUUAAUACUCUGCAAUUUUGACGUUACCGACAGAAUAAGCACCGGCUAACUCUGUGCCAGCAGCCGCGGUAAUACAGAGGGUGCAAGCGUUAAUCGGAAUUACUGGGCGUAAAGCGCGCGUAGGUGGUUUGUUAAGUUGGAUGUGAAAUCCCCGGGCUCAACCUGGGAACUGCAUUCAAAACUGACUGACUAGAGUAUGGUAGAGGGUGGUGGAAUUUCCUGUGUAGCGGUGAAAUGCGUAGAUAUAGGAAGG
Molecule: ribosomal RNA, 596 nt
Filed under: uncultured bacterium
Lineage: Bacteria
Description: bacterial SSU rRNA
Rfam family: Bacterial small subunit ribosomal RNA
Source: RNAcentral